AACGGCCGUACCAUGCUGAAUAUACCGGUUCUCGUUAGAUCACCGAAGUCAAGCAUCAUUGGGCGCGGUCAGUACUUGGGAGGGUGACCACCUGGGAACACCGCGUGCC
This is a non-coding RNA of Caerostris darwini, 109 nucleotides long. The record is from the annotation of a GenBank genome assembly. NCBI's taxonomy places the organism in Eukaryota, Metazoa, Arthropoda, Arachnida, Araneae, Araneidae.